This 484-nucleotide ribosomal RNA is filed under the name uncultured bacterium. RNAcentral's name for it is "partial 16S ribosomal RNA". It matches the Rfam family "Bacterial small subunit ribosomal RNA", at positions 30 to 507 of the family's 1533-position model. The record is from RNAcentral.
AUUGAACGCUGGCGGCAGGCCUAACACAUGCAAGUCGAGCGGAUGAAGGGAGCUUGCUCCUGGAUUCAGCGGCGGACGGGUGAGUAAUGCCUAGGAAUCUGCCUGGUAGUGGGGGAUAACGUCCGGAAACGGGCGCUAAUACCGCAUACGUCCUGAGGGAGAAAGUGGGGGAUCUUCGGAACUCACGCUAUCAGAUGAGCCUAGGUCGGAUUAGCUAGUUGGUGGGGUAAAGGCCUACCAAGGCGACGAUCCGUAACUGGUCUGAGAGGAUGAUCAGUCACACUGGAACUGAGACACGGUCCAGACUCCUGCGGGAGGCAGCAGUGGGGAAUAUUGGACAAUGGGCGAAAGCCUGAUCCAGCCAUGCCGCGUGUGUGAAGAAGGUCUUCGGAUUGUAAAGCACUUUAAGUUGGGAGGAAGGGCAGUAAGUUAAGACCUUGCUGUUUUGACGUUACCAACAGAAUAAGCACCGGCUAACUUCGUG